This 3665-nucleotide long non-coding RNA is filed under the name Malus domestica (apple). Its description in RNAcentral is "long non-coding RNA (MDOM_LNC003851)". The record is from RNAcentral. Lineage: Eukaryota; Viridiplantae; Streptophyta; Magnoliopsida; Rosales; Rosaceae.
CGCCGUGCUUUCUCUCCCUCGAACUCACUCUCUCUUCUUUCUCCCGUACAGGCGAAACAAAUCUAGCAGAAAGUUUGCAGAUCGAGGGUUUAAAGGACACCAUCGUGUUCCUGAGGUUCAUAUGAGUCGAAUGGUACCAUUUUUAGUAAGAACUCCUUCGAAAACCCUAGUUUCUCUCGAACUCUGAUUUAGGUACUAUUCAUGCAAACGUAAAAUCACGUGUUUUUUGGGAUUUCAAGCUUAUAGGUAGCUUAAGGAGGUCCUCACGAGGCUGGGAGUGGUUCGUUGGAAGAAUUUGGACGUCAGAGUAGCGAGGACGACGAGUUUUAAGUUUGGUUGGAUUAUCGUGGAUCUUUCCGGCGAGAUCCCGUGAGAUUUAGGUCCUAAAACUGGUAAGGGUUUGUUCUACUUGUCUUAAGCUUCAUUUUGGUAUAUAAUUCGUGAAAUUUGACUGAGAAAUGGACAAGAAAUGAAGGUUUAAAGAAUUUCCCAGUUUUCGGCACCAGCGACGGUCGCCGGAGUUCUAAGGUAGGGGAUGACCGAAUAUUCCGUCAACUUUGACGGAAUAUUCCUAACGGCGUUGGUUAGUUUAACGGAUUCUGUUACUGUUUAACAGAAUAUUCCUAACGGGGUUAAGGGAUUCCGUUAGGGUCCCUGCGCGUGUUGUAGUGCCUUGGCCGGCGUGUGACGACGCGUGAGUGGUCGGAAAAUUUUUCUAAAAAUAUGGGGAUGUUCGUGGAGUUGUUUAGAUCACGUUGGUAUAUUCAAACACCCUGUUUGAGCAUUGUAUGAGAAGUUAUUAGCUAGUUUUUUCUAUGUGCCUUAAAUGACGUUUUUAUAGUUGUUUCACAUAUAGGGGAGACUUAUCCCGAAGACGAGCGCGGUCAAGAGCGACUCGAGGGCUAUGACCCUUUGACAUACCAGUGAGUGGGCUUUUGAUUUUCAGUAUAUACUUAUAUACUUGAUAUUUUCCCAGAAAACUACGUUUAAAUGAAGUAUGCCUUGAAUUGCCAUGCAUAUACAUUUAUAUUCUCUAUAUGAGUUGAUAUAUGAUGCAUAAUAUAUCAUUAUGGUGCUGUGAACGCUCAGGGAAGUACCAGGUGAGUUUUUUUGGUUAUGUGAUGUACUGAUGAUGUGAUAUGUGAUUGAGAAACAUUGAGCUCAUAAACCUGCACCCCCGAUGUUAAUGAUUAGCCAGAGAUAGGGCACAACCUAUAUAUCAUGUCACCUCCCGCACCAUAUGCUCAUAUUGGAUCAAAUUUAGGUGCACAGUCUUGUCGUACAGACCAUCAUAGGUGGUUCCGACUCGUAGGUGACUAGCAAUUUAUCGCCCAGCUAUCAUGAAAAAGUAGUAUUGAGCAUAACUAUAUUACACCCAAUCUUGUCGUAUAAACCCCUUCUUAGUGGUUCCGACUUAUGUGUAGUGUAAUGCCGUAUAGAUCAUGGUAGUGACUCCAGCUGGAUUGACUAAUGAGCUAUGAAUUUAGCCAUACAGACUUAUGUAGGGGUUCCGGCUAAUAUAUUAUUUUCCAUGAAUUUAUUCUCACCUGAGUUACUUAUUCUAUUUUUAUGUUUUGGCAUAGUAUACUUAUGAAUAUGGUUAUAUGAAGCAUGAUUUGAAUUGAGAUACUUAUAUAUACAAUUAUGCAUAUGUUUAUAUUCUAUUUCUGGGAAAAAUUAUACAUGUUUUACGGCGAGGGUUUAGAACUGUUGAGAAUGGAAUGGUUUUGUAAAACAUUUGUUUUUGCCCAUUCACACUUUCUGUUUUGCGCCCCUCCAGGUUUUAGGUAAGCUUGCUAUUGGUGGCAUACGAGGAUUUCGGCGGUUCUGACAUACUAAAAUAAUUGUAGGACAUACUAUGGUACUGUAUAAUUAGUACUUGUCCUACUGGACUGCACCUAGCCUUUCUACGCUCUGAUUAGGUGCAUUUAAACUUAUAUUUCACUCUUAGCACUUUCGAUUUAUUAGUGCACAUUAGUAGCUUUCGGUUUUUAUUUAUUCGUAUAUUCUUUAUCCUUAGUGCUUCCGCACUGUGCACAUGGCUACGUCACCCUCACGUGACAGCCAGCAUGCCUCGAUCUCGGUUGGGAUGUGUCAUAUUCUCGUACAACCUAGUGUUACAGUUUAGUGGUAUUGAAAUGUCUUAGGUUCGAUUCUUGUCAAAGUCGAAUUUGAACCACAUUAUUGCUAGGUCAUUGUGAGGCUAAGUCCACUUCUCCCUCUUAGUGUAGAUAAUAUCGUUUGCCAAAAAAAAAAAUUGUCUCCUUAACAUUACCCUUAAUUUUAUUUUGGAGGUUGUGGCCAAUUGUCUAAAGGUAGAGAUAGAGUGCGGUGGUAGCAUGGAGAUGAGAGAAAUUGUAGAAUGAUUAGGGAUUGGGUGAUUCUCCCUCUGAAGUGCCUUUAUUUAUAGAAAUCAAUGUGAAUGAGUAACUUAUCCUCAAAAAAUACAAAAUCUAAUAUGAAAGAAUAAUAACAUAAUGCGUAAUCUAAAAUCCAAUUUAACUACGAUUUACACAAUCACACAUAUUAAAUAAUAUUCACAACACUCUCCGUUGAGUGUGUAAAUACUCUAGUAGAUAUCAUAUCAGAUUCAGCAACAUUGAUCAAGUCGUCUCAUCGGCACUAAUUAAAGAACAUGCUAGCCUCAAACAAGGGAACUUCCAUAUAGAAAUAAGUCUAACAAAACCUGACUAUGGUAAAAGCCAAUAUGGGGCAAAAACCCAUAGUGUAAGGAAAACAACGAGUUGGAUGCAAAGCCAAUUUAAACGUCUAUGGGACGUACACAAGGGUAUUCCAAUCUAGGUUAGGUGCCUUGUUAAAAUCCAAGGUUCUAAAAAACGCUAGGCGCUAGUCGGGCGGUGGACUAGCGCCUAGCGCCUAGGCGGCUAGGCGGCUAGGCGGGCGCCUAGACGGCCUAGGCGGAUUUACAUAAAUUUACACUAUAUAUUAUAAAAUAUGAGUAUAUGUGUAUAAUUUUAGGACUUUUUUUUUCUAAUUUUAUACAAAGAAUAUUGGGCCUAGUUUGUUUUUUCUUUGAACAAAAUAGUGGAUCACAAAAUGGACCCAACUUGAAAGAAAAUCCUUUUUUUUCAAUUAAACCGACAGCUUUCUACAUCUACACCCUUUAUCGGUUUCUCCAAUGGUAGUCCCAAUCAACCAUCACUUGUUUAUUGUUUAAUGGCUCUAGGCUUGCAUUUAUUAUUAUCAAUAGAUCUGCUCUUCUUUCUCUCUCUGCAGAGAGAUCCCUUCUCUCUCUUUAGGUAUGCCUUUCUUUUCCUCCCAUUUUCAGUUUAUCUUUCGACUCUCUCUUUCUCUUCUCUUCUCUCUCUUUCUCUCUCCCUCUGUACCCCAACUUUUCCAUGAUGCAUGAAUGAAAUCCAUACGUGGUCUGCAAACAAAUGAAAUCCAUAUGUGUUCCAGCUUAGCGCCCACAAUAAGCAGAAGCUGUCAGAACGGAUGGAUCUCUUUGACUCUCUCUCUCUCUUCUUUCUCUCUCUCUCUCUCUCUCUUCUCUUCAACAGAACGGACGGAUCUCUUCAACAGAUUUGGGUUGUGGGUGGUGGACCAUGCAGAUGCGAGGGAAGAUUUGCAGAGUGUCGACCGCCGCCUAGACCGCCGCCUAGCACCGCCUAGGCCGCCUUGAGCGCCUAGAGACGCCUAGGCGG